Molecule: ribosomal RNA, 156 nt
Filed under: uncultured archaeon
Lineage: Archaea
Description: partial 16S ribosomal RNA
Rfam family: Archaeal small subunit ribosomal RNA
Source: RNAcentral
AUUACGGGGUGCAGCAGGCGCGAAACCUCCGCAAUGUGAGAAAUCGCGACGGGGGGAUCCCAAGUGCCAUUCUUAACGGGAUGGCUUUUCAUUAGUGUAAAGAGCUUUUGGAAUAAGAGCUGGGCAAGACCGGUGCCAGCCGCCGCGGUAAUUCAA